This 1406-nucleotide ribosomal RNA is filed under the name Salmonella enterica. Its description in RNAcentral is "partial 23S ribosomal RNA". It matches the Rfam family "Bacterial large subunit ribosomal RNA", at positions 1555 to 2925 of the family's 2925-position model. Lineage: Bacteria; Pseudomonadati; Pseudomonadota; Gammaproteobacteria; Enterobacterales; Enterobacteriaceae. The record is from RNAcentral.
ACUGAGGCGUGACGACGAGGCACUACGGUGCUGAAGCAACAAAUGCCCUGCUUCCAGGAAAAGCCUCUAAGCAUCAGGUAACAUCAAAUCGUACCCCAAACCGACACAGGUGGUCAGGUAGAGAAUACCAAGGCGCUUGAGAGAACUCGGGUGAAGGAACUAGGCAAAAUGGUGCCGUAACUUCGGGAGAAGGCACGCUGACACGUAGGUGAAGUGAUUUACUCACGGAGCUGAAGUCAGCCGAAGAUACCAGCUGGCUGCAACUGUUUAUUAAAAACACAGCACUGUGCAAACACGAAAGUGGACGUAUACGGUGUGACGCCUGCCCGGUGCCGGAAGGUUAAUUGAUGGGGUCAGCGCAAGCGAAGCUCCUGAUCGAAGCCCCGGUAAACGGCGGCCGUAACUAUAACGGUCCUAAGGUAGCGAAAUUCCUUGUCGGGUAAGUUCCGACCUGCACGAAUGGCGUAAUGAUGGCCAGGCUGUCUCCACCCGAGACUCAGUGAAAUUGAACUCGCUGUGAAGAUGCAGUGUACCCGCGGCAAGACGGAAAGACCCCGUGAACCUUUACUAUAGCUUGACACUGAACAUUGAGCCUUGAUGUGUAGGAUAGGUGGGAGGCUUUGAAGUGUGGACGCCAGUCUGCAUGGAGCCGACCUUGAAAUACCACCCUUUAAUGUUUGAUGUUCUAACGUGGACCCGUGAUCCGGGUUGCGGACAGUGUCUGGUGGGUAGUUUGACUGGGGCGGUCUCCUCCUAAAGAGUAACGGAGGAGCACGAAGGUUGGCUAAUCCUGGUCGGACAUCAGGAGGUUAGUGCAAUGGCAUAAGCCAGCUUGACUGCGAGCGUGACGGCGCGAGCAGGUGCGAAAGCAGGUCAUAGUGAUCCGGUGGUUCUGAAUGGAAGGGCCAUCGCUCAACGGAUAAAAGGUACUCCGGGGAUAACAGGCUGAUACCGCCCAAGAGUUCAUAUCGACGGCGGUGUUUGGCACCUCGAUGUCGGCUCAUCACAUCCUGGGGCUGAAGUAGGUCCCAAGGGUAUGGCUGUUCGCCAUUUAAAGUGGUACGCGAGCUGGGUUUAGAACGUCGUGAGACAGUUCGGUCCCUAUCUGCCGUGGGCGCUGGAGAACUGAGGGGGGCUGCUCCUAGUACGAGAGGACCGGAGUGGACGCAUCACUGGUGUUCGGGUUGUCAUGCCAAUGGCACUGCCCGGUAGCUAAAUGCGGAAGAGAUAAGUGCUGAAAGCAUCUAAGCACGAAACUUGCCCCGAGAUGAGUUCUCCCUGAGACUUUAGGUCUCCUGAAGGAACGUUGAAGACGACGACGUUGAUAGGCCGGGUGUGUAAGCGCAGCGAUGCGUUGAGCUAACCGGUACUAAUGAACCGUGAGGCUUAACCUUACAACGCCGAAG